RNAcentral lists this ribosomal RNA (801 nucleotides) under Malassezia furfur. RNAcentral's name for it is "eukaryotic LSU rRNA". The stretch from base 245 to 398 matches the Rfam family "5.8S ribosomal RNA". Lineage: Eukaryota; Fungi; Basidiomycota; Malasseziomycetes; Malasseziales; Malasseziaceae. The record is from RNAcentral.
CUUCCCUAGAGAGGGACCUGCGGAAGGAUCAUUAGUGAAAGCAAGGGCCAGCCAUACGGACGGCGCUACUCGCGUACAACGUCUCUGGCGCCCAACUUUACACAAUAUCCACAAACCCGUGUGCACCGUUUGGAUGAGUUGGACCUCGCAAGAGGCCUGGCUCUCCAAUCCAUUUCUACCAAACUCGUAUGGUUGUAUGAACGUGGAAAUCGUUGGACCGUAACUGGCCAACAACCAAUAAUACAACUUUCGACAACGGAUCUCUUGGUUCUCCCAUCGAUGAAGAACGCAGCGAAACGCGAUAGGUAAUGUGAAUUGCAGAAUUCCGUGAAUCAUCGAAUCUUUGAACGCACCUUGCGCUCCAUGGUAUUCCGUGGAGCAUGCCUGUUUGAGUGCCGUGAAUUCUCUCUCCCCAAGCGGUUGCGAUUGCACUGCUUUGGCGGACGAGGUUGGAUGGGUGCUUCUGCCUGUUUCGCAAGAAACAGGCUCGCCCGAAAUGCAUUAGCGCCUUUGGGACACACUCUGCAAACCGCUCUGAAAGGGAGGGCGGCAGAGGGGAUGGAGGAACUCCGCCCGUCAGCUAUACCAAACUUUGCCCCAGGCAAGCGCAUGGCAUGAUACGUCAUUUGCUGUGUGUGCGUCCUGAGGCAAGGGGCCGAUGUGGUGCCUUUGUCACUCUGUGGGUGUGUUGGUGCGCUACCAAUCCUGCGUGGAGGCUGGUCUGUGCGCAAGCAUGGAGCAGUUCUUGUGAACGCAUUCCCUUUUUUCAUUUCUGUCUCAAAUCAGUAGACCCCCACCAAU